Schizosaccharomyces pombe (fission yeast) is the source of this 678-nucleotide non-coding RNA. Lineage: Eukaryota; Fungi; Ascomycota; Schizosaccharomycetes; Schizosaccharomycetales; Schizosaccharomycetaceae. The record is from the annotation of a GenBank genome assembly.
AUUUCUCACAAUUUUUAAAAUCGUAAUGCUGAAAUGAAAAUCCUGAUUCCCUUGUAUUAAUAUCGACAGUUUGUCACUAAUUGAUGUCAAUUAUAUCCUAUUGAAUGAUUCAUAUAUGGUGAUUUAGUGUAGUAAAGGCUUGUAAACCUGUGAUUUUGUGUUUGCAUAAGCUACGACGAGUUUUCGUAUUUUUUGGUUCUUUGCAAAUAGAAAUGAAUUAUCUUUUCUCUUGCCGACAAAAUUUCCUCCAAUGACCAGCAAUAAUAGUUAAAACAAUCAUUGGUUUCUCUGUUUAAGUCAUAGUGAUUAAUUUGUUGAAUUAUUAUUAUCAUAAUAAAUGCUUGCUUGGCAGCAUACUACAACCACUGUUUUCCAAUGAAAUACUUCGCAUACUAUAGUAAUUAAAUACAAGUUUUCCCUAGAAAUACCAACUUAAACAUAUGUUGACUAAACAUCGGUGCGAGUGAAAGCAAACACUAAUUCUUACUCAUGUAUCCAAGUUGUUUGUCAGGUUUGGGGAAACUAGUUUUACCAUUUCAGCCGUUCAACGAUACGAACAACUUCAUAGUUGUAUUUCCAUUUCACAAAGAUUAAUCUGUAGAUUUUAGAUGAUGCAGAGUUAUACACAAUACUAGGGUGAUGAAUAAAUAUACAAAAGACAGAUACAAGUUGAUAAAU